Molecule: microRNA precursor, 231 nt
Organism: Medicago truncatula (barrel medic)
Lineage: Eukaryota; Viridiplantae; Streptophyta; Magnoliopsida; Fabales; Fabaceae
Rfam family: MIR2630 microRNA precursor family
Source: Rfam
CCCUGCAAAAAUAGAAUAUUUGGUUUUGGUCCUUGGUAUUUUGUUUUAAUCCUUGUAAAAUCAUUUCAUAUUGAAAUUGGUCCCUAUAAUAUUCAUUUUAGUCCUCGUUUUGAGAGACUAAAAUCAAAUAUUCUACAUAUUACAAGGACCAAAUCCAAUAUGAAUCAAUUUUACAAGGACUAAAACAAAAUAUACAAAGGACCAAAACCAAAUUUUUUAUAUUUGCAGGGA